This is a long non-coding RNA of Gasterosteus aculeatus (three-spined stickleback), 1458 nucleotides long. The record is from Ensembl. Lineage: Eukaryota; Metazoa; Chordata; Actinopteri; Perciformes; Gasterosteidae.
CUAAUAGGGAACAUAUACAAAAGAAACGGAGAUCCUACCAUCAGAGUCCAUCUCCACCUCCGGCCACAGGCCGCUGUCCUCUCGCAGGCUUUGGACUCGAUUAUUGGGGCCCAGAAUUUGGGCGGCCUCGUCCGCGUCCAGGUUGAUCAGCUGCAGCAUCGCUCCGUAGUGCCUCCGGAUCUUGGCGGUCGUCAGCACUUUAGGGUCCUCGGCUCCGCAGUCCUUGACGAACCUCUGGAUGCACUCGGCCCCGCUGUAGGCGGACAGAGUCUGCGGCCGGCCAAAGACGUAGGGAUUCUGCCUGGGGACGCCGCACUUCUUGCGCACGUUGACGAGGAGCUCCAUGGCCGACUCGAACGACGGCUUCAGGAAAACGGGGACCGUCUUCCCGGUGUUCCCUCGAACGUCGAUCCUGGUGAAGAACUCGCUCAUGCUCCUCUCCAGAUCCGAGAAGGUGACGCCAUCGACCGCGCGGGACUUCUUCCGGGACGCGAAAGCCGACAGCUCCACCGAGGACACCUCCACGACGCUCCUCCGGUUGAAGAGCAGCGUGCGCGCGAGGGUCACCUUGGCCAGGGAGGCGUAGUUUUCCGCAGUCGCCGCGUCCCUGAGAUUCUUCUCGGCGACGAGGUGAACUUCCUCCAUGUGGGCAUUCAGCCGCUUUACGUCUUGGGCGAACGGCACCUUCUUCUCCUUGGUCAGCUUGGUUUCCCUCAGCGACGUCAACGCGCCCCCCGAAACCAGCGCGUUCCACUUGUCGUGGUACACGGCGAGGAAGCUGCGCGCGGCCUCGGCCGAGCCGGCGUCGCCGCGCCUCACGGCGUUGCCCUCGACGAUGGCGCAGGUCUUCUGGAGGUUGUAGCCGAGCUUGAUGGCGAGCGACGGGAGGCCGUACGUCUUCUUCUCCGGGUCGUAGGCCGCCAGGGCGUUCACCGCCGACACCACGUGCGGGAACGCCGACGGCAGAAAGAAGUCCUCCAGCUUCUUCAGGGGGGUGGUCUCCCGCGCCUCCUGCACCAGCCUCGCAACCUGACGGAGGUUCUGCCUUAUGUAGUGGUGCUUCUUGGGAUCGGAUCCCUGCUGGCUGAAGAGCUCCUCGCCGUACUGCAAGAUGAUCUCGUCCGCCAUGAUGGCCUGGGUCACGUCGUCGAACACCAUCGGGGACAUGAUGUUCUUGAAGCCGUCGCUGAUCCCGAGGUCCUCCAAGGUCUCCAGCACGCAGCGCAAAGCCAGGCGCCGCCUGCCGAGCUCCGGCUCGUCGCCGCCGUUGGCCGCUUUCUCCGGGCACGAUUUCAUGUGCCUGUGCAGCGCUUUCUUGAUGAAAAGGCCUCGGCAGUACAGGCAGUGAAGAAAGUCUUGGGCCCUCUGAGUUGUGCUCGGCCUUUUUCGGGAAACCAGUUGGCCCCGCCCCGUUUUCAAGACCUCCUUGUUAUGAGCAAAGUUUCCCUGAUUUAUUAG